Bombyx mori (domestic silkworm) is the source of this 845-nucleotide long non-coding RNA. RefSeq lists it as uncharacterized. The transcript has 3 exons. The record is from RefSeq and is a predicted model, not a curated record. NCBI's taxonomy places the organism in Eukaryota, Metazoa, Arthropoda, Insecta, Lepidoptera, Bombycidae.
AAAAAACAAAAUUUUAAUUGUUUUCAAAACAAUCUCAAGCGGUCGGAAGUUUUUAUUUUGCUUUUUCUAGAUUUUUUGUUACUUUGUGAGUGAAUUUAACGUUAAAUAAAAAUUAUGAGAUUUAACGAGCGUUCUUCUCAUCCCACAUUGGUGCAAAUAGAGGCAUUGAUAGACGUUUUGGAUUAAAAGCUAGCGAAACAAAAGGUUUAAUCGUAUCUCAACAUGUUCAAUAAGAUAACAAGGAUAUUAAAAAAUAUAGGAACUAAAUUCUCUUGUCAGAUAUGAUCCAUUCCCGGAGAGAUAUUUAGGACAUGUUAACAUCUAUUUAUGUAUGAUAAAUCUAUCUACUACGUUUUUAUUGAUAUUCUAUUUUAACAGGGAAUAUCGGUAAUUUAUCUGUAUCUCAAAUUCACCAACAAAAAAAAAUUAUAUUGAAUUAAAUAAAUCAAAUCAUUAACAAUUUAGGUAUUUGCAAUACCUGUUGGAUUGAUGUUGUUGGAAUGUUAUUAUUGAUGCAGAGGUGACUGUAUCUAUGGUAAAGAGUGUGCACACCGGUACAGGGGUGGCAGGCCGUGCCAGAGUAUUGACUAAAUUGACAUUAUGUAGGCUAAAGACUGCAUACUCCGUUUAAAAUCAAUGAACAAAAUUUAGGCAUAACCUAUUUAUUAUAUUUAAGGAACUACAACAGAUUGAAAAUACUAAUCCACAUUAACAGAAUAUUGUAAGGAGAAUUCAUUGCCAACUCGGAAAAUGUAUCAGUAUUGGAACAAUCCCAAAUAUCCUACAGCAUUGCAUCAAGAAUCACCUAUUUUGCAGUCAUCCUCCCCUAACUAAAUGCAAGUGAC